UCUAGACUGACAAGCAGUUGGAAGUGUGGUGACCGAGGGCAGAGCACAGGGUGCUGCUGUGUGGACCAUGCUCAGGGGCUGCCGAUGUUCAGGAGGAACCACUCGCCUGGACCCGUGAAAGGCUUCCGCCUCGGAGCUGGCAGGGCCACCAGAAAAUGCCGGAUGCAGAUGAGACUGGUUCAGAGAGUAUGAGAGGAGGUCU
Molecule: long non-coding RNA, 202 nt
Organism: Lemur catta (Ring-tailed lemur)
Lineage: Eukaryota; Metazoa; Chordata; Mammalia; Primates; Lemuridae
Exons: 3
Source: RefSeq, a predicted model, not a curated record